RNAcentral lists this ribosomal RNA (447 nucleotides) under uncultured bacterium. RNAcentral describes it as "bacterial SSU rRNA". It matches the Rfam family "Bacterial small subunit ribosomal RNA", at positions 330 to 793 of the family's 1533-position model. The record is from RNAcentral.
ACCAGACUCCUACGGGAGGCAGCAGUGGGGGAUAUUGCACAAUGGGGGGAACCCUGAUGCAGCGACGCCGCGUGGGUGAAGAAGCGCCUCGGCGCGUAAAGCCCUGUCAGCAGGGAAGAAAAUGACGGUACCUGAAGAAGAAGCCCCGGCUAACUACGUGCCAGCAGCCGCGGUAAUACGUAGGGGGCAAGCGUUAUCCGGAUUUACUGGGUGUAAAGGGGGCGCAGACGGCGAUGCAAGCCAGGAGUGAAAGCCCGGGGCCCAACCCCGGGACUGCUCUUGGGACUGCGUGGCUGGAGUGCAGGAGGGGCAGGCGGAAUUCCUGGUGUAGCGGUGAAAUGCGUAGAUAUCAGGAGGAACACCGGUGGCGAAGGCGGCCUGCUGGACUGCAACUGACGUUGAGGCUCGAAAGCGUGGGGAGCAAACAGGAUUAGAUACCCGCGUAAG